ACUCAAAAUUCUAUGGGCUUGGUCAGACUCCCUCGCUUGUAUCUUUACUGAGGGAGACUUAGUGCAUUUGUCUUCUUGGCAUCACAAACUCUGAUACAGGACAAAGUGCUCUGUGUGAUAGGGCACCAUGAGAUUCUGCUGCCAGGCCACCAUACAUUGCUCAUUCACUGACCAACAACUUCAUUAAAGCAGCUGGGAUUUGGAAAACUGAAGAUGAAUCUGCUUGAACAAGCAUAGUUCUGAAGCCACCAAAGUCCAACCUCUUAAGUACGUAAAUGGAACAUAAUUGAAAGCAUGGAAUUUUGAAAAGAUGAUACAGUGGAGCAUGGAGCAUGGGCAAGGUUUCAGAAACCUCAUCAUGCAUCUCCCAGAGUGUGGAAGCCAAUGAAAUCACAAAGAAUGGCGCUAGAGUCUUGCCCAGAGAAUUCCAAAAGUGGCAGAGAUUGGAGACCCUGCAGUAGUGGAUGCAGAGCCAGGGAAGUAGUGGUGCAUCCUGGACUCAACAGUGU
Molecule: long non-coding RNA, 509 nt
Filed under: Homo sapiens (human)
Lineage: Eukaryota; Metazoa; Chordata; Mammalia; Primates; Hominidae
Description: non-protein coding lnc-MGAM2-4:1
Source: RNAcentral